CCUGGAUCCAACGGGCCCUGCUGAGGUACCUGGUCCCAACGGGCCCUGCUGAGGUACCUGGUCUCAACGGGCCCUGCUGAGGUACCUGGUCUCAACGGGCCCUGCUGAGGUACCUGGUCUCAACGGGCCCUGCUGAGGUACCUGGAUCCAACGGGCCCUGCUGAGGUACUUGGUUAAUGAGCCAAGACUUCUGGGACUACAACCUUCAUGUGGGGCAUCUGCUGCUGCGACAGAGGCGUAGGGAGGUAUUGCAGCACCUCCAGACUGGGCUGGCCCUGCGGCCCUCACUCAGGUCAGCACACUGUGGUAUACCCCUACUCACCAGACGGGCCGCGGUCCGGACCCAGAACAAGGUCAAUA
This is a long non-coding RNA of Oncorhynchus tshawytscha (Chinook salmon), 360 nucleotides long. NCBI's taxonomy places the organism in Eukaryota, Metazoa, Chordata, Actinopteri, Salmoniformes, Salmonidae. The record is from Ensembl.